UUUCACGAUUGGCGGUACCAUGUAACGUUUACACCAAUGGAUUUGGGGCUAUUUUAACGGUUGUCGGUAAUUCGUUAUUUAUUCGUCGUUGGUGCAUGCACGUAUGUAUCCUACCACUUGACCUAUGUUCACGAUUCUUUUGUGAAUCAGCGGGCAGACCGCUGUUUGCGGCCGGAGGCCGUCGUGCGGCAACGGCAGCUACUGCGCCCGUGACAGUAUUUGGAGACCGAGGGACUAUUACUGCUACGUGGCCUGUCCUUCGUCUUCGUCGCCUUCUUCGUGGUCGGGCACCACGAGCACGUGCCGAAGCGGCCGCUGCCGUAAUACUGCACCCACGAGGUCCACUCGCGGGAGCGGUUAGCACCGAUGCUGCACAUGCAGGGGCUGGACCACGUGAAGCCGCCGAGGUGUAGCGGCAACGGUCUGGCGAGGCACCGGAAGGUCCGUGCCACGGAACGCCGCCGAGAUGCCUUCGAACCUCAGCCAUGCCGGCUGCACCACCCGACCUCGAUGCCGCCCAAGCAUCGUAAGCUCGACCGCCGGCACGUAGGCCUGGUCCAGGCGAGGCAGCAGCGGAGGCCGUCGUGGCAGUUCAUGUGAUCGCGGUACUCCCUACUGAACGACUCCUCCGAACCGACCCGGGUUAGCGACUGCCUCGAGAACCACGGCCUCAGCCAACCGGUCGAGUCCAACGACAAGAGGUUGCGGUACGUGUACUUCGGCACCAAAGGCCUAGCGGAAGAGUCCCUGAAAGAAUUCCACUACAUAAAGUUGGUUUUCCUCUCUCGACUCUACUAUCUUCUAUAUCAGGAGCCCCUGUGUCUUCGUAAACGGGGACAAAAAGUCGUCUCGUAUGAGGACAACACCCCACUUUUACUGUUGUACACCGGGUAUCUCCUACGACUCACAGACUUUGUGUUCGAUCCCCUCUUCCGCUUGGACGCUGCGUAUUCGUUUCGUCCCGUAGAACAUGUUGACCUCUCCGGUACACAGAAGUUGGCGUUGGAGUAUCUCAAGGACCGAGUACCGUUGUGUGCGAGGAGAACUCACGCGGUACCUAGUAGUACUAGCAUGGAUUUUCUAUACAGUUUGAGUAACUAGUAGUAUCCCACGUGAAUGGUCUACAGGACUGUACUAUAUAUAAACAUACAUAUGGGGUCAGAUAUGAGUACAUAUGGAUGAUUAUU
Molecule: ribosomal RNA, 1187 nt
Filed under: Triticum aestivum (bread wheat)
Lineage: Eukaryota; Viridiplantae; Streptophyta; Magnoliopsida; Poales; Poaceae
Description: partial small subunit ribosomal RNA
Source: RNAcentral